AGUGAACGCUGGCGGUAGGCCUAACACAUGCAAGUCGAACGAGUGGCGGACGGGUGAGGAAUGCGUCGGAAUCUACUCUGUCGUGGGGGUUAACGUGGGGGAACUGACGCUAAAACCGGAUACGAUUGAAUGAGCCGAUGUCGGAUUAGCUAGUUUGCGGGGUAUAGGCCCACCAGGGCGACGACCCGUAGCUGGUCUGAGAGGAUGAUCAGCCACAUUGGAACGGAGCAACGGUCCAGACUCCUAGGGGAGGAAGCAGUGGGGAUUAUGGGACAAUGGGGGAAAGCCUGAUCCAGCCAGCCCGCGUGGGGGAAGAGGGCCUCCGGGUGUAAAAGCCUGUUUGUCGGGAAAGCGGUACCCAAAGAGUAAGCACCGGCUAACUACGUGCCAGCCGCCGCGGUAAUAC
Molecule: ribosomal RNA, 406 nt
Filed under: uncultured bacterium
Lineage: Bacteria
Description: partial 16S ribosomal RNA
Rfam family: Bacterial small subunit ribosomal RNA
Source: RNAcentral